Long non-coding RNA from Oncorhynchus tshawytscha (Chinook salmon), 674 nucleotides. The record is from Ensembl. Lineage: Eukaryota; Metazoa; Chordata; Actinopteri; Salmoniformes; Salmonidae.
GCUGGAGAGGGUGUAGGAGACAGUGAGGCUGGAGAGGGUGUAGGAGACAGUGAGCAUGGAGAGGGUGUAGGAGACAGUAAUGAUGGAGAGGGUGUAGGAUAUAGUGAGGGUGGAGAGGGUGAUGGAGACAGUGAGGGUGGAGAGGGUGAUGGAGACAGUGAGGCUGGAGAGGGUGUAGUAGACAGUGGGCUGGAGAGGGUGUGGGAGACAGUGAGGAUGGAGAUGGGUUAGGAGUCAGUGACCAUGGAGAGGGUGUAGGAGACCGUGAGGAUGGAGAGGGUGUAGAGGACAGUGAGGAUGGAGAGGGUGUAGGAGACAGUGAGGAUGGAGAGGGUGUAGGAGACAGUGAGGCUGGAGAGGGUGUAGGAGACAGUGAGGCUGGAGAGGGUGUAGGAGACAGUGAGGAUGGAGAGGGUGUAGGAGACAGUGAGACUGUAGAGGGUGUAGGAGACAGUGAGACAGGAGAGGGUGUAGGAGACAGUGAGGCUGGAGAGGGUGUAGGAGACAGUGAGACUGGAGAGGGUGUAGGAGACAGUGAGACUGGAGAGGGUGUAGGAGACAGUGAGGGCUGAGAGGAUGUAGGAGACAGUGAGAUGGAGAGGGUGUAGAGACAGUGAGGAGGAGAGAGGGUGUAGGAGACAGUGAGUCUGAGAGGGUGUAGGAGACAGUGAGAU